This 594-nucleotide ribosomal RNA is filed under the name Bipolaris sorokiniana. Its description in RNAcentral is "eukaryotic LSU rRNA". The stretch from base 206 to 359 matches the Rfam family "5.8S ribosomal RNA". Lineage: Eukaryota; Fungi; Ascomycota; Dothideomycetes; Pleosporales; Pleosporaceae. The record is from RNAcentral.
UUCCGUAGGGUAACCUGCGGAGGGAUCAUUACACAACGAAAAUAUGAAGGCUUUGGCUUCGCGGCCGGCUGAAAUAUUUUUUUCACCCAUGUCUUUUGCGCACUUGUUGUUUCCUGGGCGGGUUCGCCCGCCACCAGGACCAAACCAUAAACCUUUUUUUAAUGCAGUUGCAAUCAGCGUCAGUAAAAAACAAUGUAAUUAUUACAACUUUCAACAACGGAUCUCUUGGUUCUGGCAUCGAUGAAGAACGCAGCGAAAUGCGAUACGUAGUGUGAAUUGCAGAAUUCAGUGAAUCAUCGAAUCUUUGAACGCACAUUGCGCCCUUUGGUAUUCCAAAGGGCAUGCCUGUUCGAGCGUCAUUUGUACCUUCAAGCUUUGCUUGGUGUUGGGCGUUUUUUGUCUCCCUCUUGCUGGGAGACUCGCCUUAAAACGAUUGGCAGCCGGCCUACUGGUUUCGGAGCGCAGCACAUAUUUUGCACUCUGUGUCAGGAGAAAAGGACGGUAAUCCAUCAAGACUCUACAAAUUUUAACUUUUGACCUCGGAUCAGGUAGGGAUACCCGCUGAACUUAAGCAUAUCAAAACCCGGAGGAAAA